UCCGUAGGCGGUGCGGCAAGUCGGAAGUGAAAUCUCAGGGCUUAACCCUGAGGCUGCUUCCGAAACUGCCGUGCUCGAGUGCGAGAGAGGCGAGUGGAAUUGCAGGUGUAGCGGUGAAAUGCGUAGAUAUCUGCAGGAACAUCCGAGGCGAAAGCGGCUCGCUGGAUCGCAACUGACGCUGAGGGACGAAAGCUAGGGGGAGCAAACAGGAUUAGAUACCCUGGUAGUCCUAGCCCUAAACGAUCAGGACUGGGCGUGGGCCUCGUACGGGGCUCGUGCCGCAGCUAACGCGUUAAGUCCUGCGCCUGGGGAGUACGGUCGCAAGGCUGAA
Molecule: ribosomal RNA, 331 nt
Filed under: uncultured bacterium
Lineage: Bacteria
Description: bacterial SSU rRNA
Rfam family: Bacterial small subunit ribosomal RNA
Source: RNAcentral